RNAcentral lists this ribosomal RNA (489 nucleotides) under uncultured bacterium. RNAcentral's name for it is "partial 16S ribosomal RNA". It matches the Rfam family "Bacterial small subunit ribosomal RNA", at positions 30 to 507 of the family's 1533-position model. The record is from RNAcentral.
UUGCACGCUGGCGGCAGGCCUAACCCAUGCCAGUCGAACGGUAACAGGAAGAAGCUUGCUUCUUUGCUGACGAGUGGCGGACGGGUGAGUAAUGUCUGGGAAACUGCCUGAUGGAGGGGGAUAACUACUGGAAACGGUAGCUAAUACCGCAUAACGUCGCAAGACCCAAGAGGGGGACCUUCGGGCCUCUUGCCAUCGGAUGUGCCCAGAUGGGAUUAGCUAGUAGGUGGGGUAACGGCUCACCUAGGCGACGAUCCCUAGCUGGUCUGAGAGGAUGACCAGCCACACUGGAACUGAGACACGGUCCAGACUCCUACGGGAGGCAGCAGUGGGGAAUAUUGCACAAUGGGCGCAAGCCUGAUGCAGCCAUGCCGCGUGUAUGAAGAAGGCCUUCGGGUUGUAAAGUACUUUCAGCGGGGAGGAAGGGAGUAAAGUUAAUACCUUUGCUCAUUGACGUUACCCGCAGAAGAAGCACCGGCUAACUCCGUG